Molecule: long non-coding RNA, 367 nt
Organism: Balaenoptera acutorostrata (minke whale)
Lineage: Eukaryota; Metazoa; Chordata; Mammalia; Artiodactyla; Balaenopteridae
Exons: 3
Source: RefSeq, a predicted model, not a curated record
AGGACGCCAGUGGUCCAGGAUUGAAUUUGGAAUUACACUUUCAAGGCUCUUACAAAGAGCGUGUGGAUCAGCGGUGGGAAUCGGCGAGACCACGUAGAAAACGGGCGGAGAUUCUUAAUCACUGCACCACUGGGGGGGAAGCCCCUACCAGCAUCAUCAUCUAAAUAGCGGACAAGGGAAGCCCAGGGAGAAUGUCUAAAGUCACAGACCUCGCCGUGCAGUUGGAGAAAAGGGUCUCACAGGCUGUCUGGAGAGACUGAUGGGGACCAGGCAGUGGUGUGCAGUGUGACCAUGAGAAACACAGAAGAGUUGACCAAGUGUGUCUGUGACCCAGGGGAGGGGGCACAGACUCUCCUAUGUGGUCGAA